RNAcentral lists this ribosomal RNA (450 nucleotides) under uncultured bacterium. RNAcentral's name for it is "partial 16S ribosomal RNA". It matches the Rfam family "Bacterial small subunit ribosomal RNA", at positions 354 to 796 of the family's 1533-position model. The record is from RNAcentral.
GUGGGGAAUCUUCCGCAAUGGACGAAAGUCUGACGGAGCAACGCCGCGUGAGUGAUGAAGGUCUUCGGAUUGUAAAGCUCUGUUAAUCGGGACGAAAGAGCCUAGUGUGAAUAAUGCUAGGAAGUGACGGUACCGGAAUAGAAAGCCACGGCUAACUACGUGCCAGCAGCCGCGGUAAUACGUAGGUGGCAAGCGUUGUCCGGAAUUAUUGGGCGUAAAGCGCGCGCAGGCGGAUCUGCCAGUCUGUCUUAAAAGUUCGGGGCUUAACCCCGUGAUGGGAUGGAAACUACAGAUCUAGAGUAUCGGAGAGGAAAGUGGAAUUCCUAGUGUAGCGGUGAAAUGCGUAGAGAUUUGGAAGAACACCAGUGGCGAAGGCGACUUUCUGGACGAUGUCUGACGCUGAGGCGCGAAAGCUAGGGGAGCGAACGGGAUUAGAUACCCGGGUAGUCC